ACCACAUGCCUUCUGCCCGCUAGCUGCCUCUGGUGGCCUUGCACCCUCUCUGCUGCUCUCCCUCCUGGAGUUCUUCCUGCAGGGGAACCUAACCAAUGUGGGCCAAGCACUGUUGCCAAGUACUGUGAUCAGAUCUUCUCAACUGAUUCUCACAACUACCCUGUGAAGCAGAUGUUGAUAUCUCCAUUUUAUAGAUGUGAAAACAGACUUGGAAGGGGCAAGUGAUGCUGAACCUGGCCCAACACUGCUGGUAAGAAUCAGAGGUAGGAUUGAAUCAAGUCUUUUGACACCUAUUCCACUGCCCUUUCAACUAACCUUAGCUACCACUCAUAGCUAGUGUUCUGUGUGGAUACAAUGCCCUACAUGUAUCAAAAUAUCACAUGUACCCCCAUGUGUUAAUUUGUUAAUUCAUUCAACAAAUACUUAUGAGUAUGAAGAAGUGUCUAAGAGGGAGCACACACUGCAGUAAAACCCAGACACGGGAGGAAGCAUGGAGGACAGGGGGAAUAAGGAAUGACUGCAAAUGGGUAUGGAGUUUUUUAGGAUGUUGAAACUGUUCUAAAAGUAGAUUGUGGUGAUGGUUAUACAACUCUUGGAGUGUACUACAAAUGACUGGACUGUACACUUUAAAUGGAUGAUAUUUAUAAUAUGUAAAUUAUAUCUCAAUAAAGCUGCUAAAAAAGAAGAAAGAAAAUAAAAAUAAAUAUACCAAAAAAGGAUAUACUCUAUAAGAUUAGAAUAGAAAUAGGCAUAUGUCAUGAGUCUUUACAUCAAAAGAGAAUAUUGUACAGGAUUAUGAUAUUAUAGUUUGAUUUUGGUACAUGUCAUAAUAAAAUAAAUGAUUAUAAACAUAAGAACAAAACAAAUAAACAAAAAAGCCCAGGUACAGCCAGAUGCAAUGGCUCAUGCCUAGAAUCCCAACACUUGGGGAGGUAGGUGGAGGCAGGAGGAUCACUUGAGCCCAGGAGUUUGAGGCCAGCCUGGGCAACAUAGCAAGACGCUGUCUCUACAAAAUAAAAAAGUCAGCCAGGUGUGGUGAUGCAUGCCUGUAGUCCCAGCUACUCAGGAGGCUGGGUUGGGAGGAUCGCUUCAGCCAAGGAAGUCGAAGCUGCAGUGAGCCACGAUCACACCACUGCACUCCGGCCUGGGUAACAAAGUGAGACCCUGCCUCAAAAAAAAAAAAAAAAAAAAAAAGGGUGGGGGGAUUCUUAAUUCUUUCCUGCUUAACUCCCACAGGUGUUAUGUUAGGCUCAAAAUUAGGUUUGCUGCCCAGGUGUGGUGGCUUAUGCUGUAAUCCCAGCAUUUUGGGAACCUUAGGCAGAAGGAUCGCUUGAGGCCAGGAGUUCAAGACUAGCCCUGGCAACAUAGCGAGACCCAGACUCUACAAAAUAAAUAAAUAAAUAAAUAGGUUUUUUUUUUUUAAAUAGGUUUGCUAGGACACCUUUUUCCAUACCAAUAAGAUACAUUUAAUAAGAAAGCAUUGAGCACCCCUUAGUUCUGGUCUUGUACUAAGUGCUUUACAAAGAAAACAACUGUGAAGCAUGCUCAUGCUUCCUUUCCAAACUUUAAGUUCAUUUCUCUGUGAAUUGAGAAGCAGGGUCUGAAUGCAUAGAAAUAUAUACAAGUUUUGACAUAGAUGGGAACAGAAAAGAAUUCCCUCUUAAUUUGAAAAGUUCCCACUGAUCCAUGAUUCCAACAAAUCAAUGGUAUAAUUCAACAAUUGAGGUUAAAGUUAGUACCUUAUUCCUAUUUGAACUCAAAUGUAAAUGGUGCUAGAUUUGCUCAUUUCCUUGAGUAAAAGCUGUAAGAAUUAAGGCCUUUCAAUUUCUUUUCCAGUUUUACAGAAUUUGAUGAGUCUAAAGUAAGCCAUCCCAUAACAUCAGUAAACAUACCUUAAUUAAACUGGAAUUUUAACAUUAUAAUUUACUUUUAGAAAAAGAGGCAAAAGCCAAAUAAACUGAUAAUAGGAACUUACUUUAAAGAUGCUCUGGAAGUCCCAGACUUGUUCUUAGGGCAGUACAGAUUCUGCUCUGAUAACCUUCUACACUGACCACACAGGAUGAAGUGAAACAGUAUGAGAAGGAUGAGCCCGAGACACUGAAAGACCUGGAUGUGCUUUCCAAAUCAUUACAUAAGACAAACAUGAAACUUAAUAGAAUAUAUUAUACUUACUAAACGAUGCACAAAGAUUAUACUAAAACAUGUUUUCAAAGAAGUUGAAAACCAGGUUAUCUUCUCUUUGCACAAACUUAUUCUAUAUAUACAUAUCCAUUUCACCCAUUUCAGUUAAUCUAGGGUUACAACAUAUUAUGACUAAAGUCCAUUAAGCAGUCAGUGUCCUUCAAGGUUCGACAAAUUACUAGAUUGUUUCUGUGUAUAUUUUUAAGUUUAUAACUUGAUAAUUCAUUGAUUGAAGUUAUGGCCAUUUGUCUAUAUUAGGGCUUAUUAGGACAAACACUAUUUGCUGACUUUGGAAAUGCUUAUUUUUCCUGUGCUUACUCAUCUCUAAGGAAGAAAGACUAAACCAGAUGAAUAAAAACCCUCCCCAACAUUUCAAUAGGCUAAAAACCCUUAAUAUGACAUAAAUAAGGGUAAGGGUUUAAAGACGAUGAGUUCAAAUACUUAAGAGAAUUUGAAAGCUGUAUCCCCUUACAGUUGUUUUUGAAAGUACUUAGCACGUGAAAAUAACCAAUGCUUACUAAGCAAGAGGUGUUAUUUAACAUUUGUGUACCUUAUCUCUAGAGAUAUCCCAAUAUCCAAUUACAUGCACCCUGUCUUCCUGUACUCCACCCUCUAUUUUACAGUUGACAAAGUGGACACAGAGAUUAUGCAAUCUAACAUCACACUGCUAGUAAAUGCCAGAGCCAGGAUUACAAGGACUCUUAAACCUUGAUGUAGAUGUAAAUUGCCUGGGGCAUCUUGAUAAAAUGAAAUCGGAUUCUGUAGUGCUGGGGUGGGGGCUGAGAGUCUAUAUUCCUAACAUGUCAAUGUUCCUGAUCCACAGACCUUCCUUUGAGUAGUAAGAUUAUUACAAGAUUCAGUAAAGAAUGUCUAGAUGCUCCUCCAUCCUGUUUGUUUUAGAAUAUUGGCAUACAUAAUCUUAUUGUGCUUUGCUUUAUCGUGCUUGGAAAAAAUAGGUUUUUUUUAAUUGAAGGUUUGUGGCAACCCUGCACCAAGCAUGUCUAUCAGUGCCAUUUUUCCAACAGCACAUGCUCAAUUCAUGUCUGUGUGUCACAUUUUGCAAGACAUUGCAAUACUGAUGUGUCAAUAUUGCAAGACUUUCAAUUUUUUUCAUUAUUAUACUAAUAUGAUCUUUGAUGUUGCUAUUGCAAUCAUUUUGGGGCCACAAACUGCACCCAUAUAAGAUGGAAAACCUAAUCAAUGAAUGUUGUGUGCUCUGACUGCUCCACUGACCGGCUGUUCCACUGUGUCUCGCCCUCUUUGGGCUUCCCUAUUCCCUGAGACACAGCAAUACUGAAAUUAGGCCAAUUAAUAACCUUACAAUGCCCUCUAAGUAUUCAUCUGAAAGGAAGAGUCACAUAUUUUUCACUUUAAAUCAAAAGCUAGAAAUGAUUAAGCUUAGGGAGAAAGGUACGUCAAAAGCCUAGACAGGCUGAAAGCUAGAUUUCUUGCUCCAAACAGCUAAGUUGUGAAUGCAAAAAAAAAGUUAUUGAAGGAAAUUAAAAGUGCACUCCAGUGAGCACAAAAUGUGAUGAAAUGUGUCCCUAUCAGUAAACAGGGACAAAGUUUUAGUGGUCUGAAUAUAAGAUUAAACCAGCUAUAACAUUCCCUUAAGCCAAAGCUUAAUCUACAGCAAGACCCUAACUCUCUUCAAUUCUAUGAAGGCUGAGAGAAGUGAGAAAGCUGCAGAAGAAAAGUCUGAAACUUGCAGAGGUUGGUUCAUGAGGUUUAAGGAAAGAAGCCACCUCCACAACAUAAAAGUGCAAGGUGAAGCAGCAAGUAUUGAUGUAGAAGCUGCAGCAAGUUAUCCAGAAGAUCUAGCUAGCUGAUGAAGGUAGCUACACUAAACAACAGACUUUCAAAGUAGAGAAUAUAGACUUCUAUUGGAAGAAGAUGCCUCUAGGACUUUCAUAGCUAGAGAAAAGUUAAUACCUGGCUUCAAAGCUUCAAAGGAAAGUCUGACUCUCUUAUUAGGGGCUAAUGCAGUUGGUGACUAAGUUGAAGCCAAUGCUCAUUUGCCAUUCCAGAAAUUCUAUGGCCCUUAAGAAUUAGGCUAAAUCUACUCUACCUGUGCUCUAUAAAUGGAACAACAAAUCCCAGAUGACAGCCUGUUUACAGCAUGGUUUACUGAAUAUUAUUAUUAUUUUUUGAGACAAAGUCUCACUUUGUUGCCCAGGCUGAAGUACAGUGGUGCAAUCUCGGCUCACUGCAACCUCUGCCUCCCAGGUUCAAGCAAUUCUCCUGUCUCAGCCUCCAGAGUAGCUGGGACUACAGGCGUGUGACACCAUGCCUGGAUAAUUUUUGUAUUUUUAGUAGAGACAGGGUUUCACCAUGUUGGCUAGGCUGGUCUUGAACUCCAGAUCUCAUGAUCCACCUGCCCCAGCCUCCAAAAGUGCUGAGAUUACAGGUGUGAGCCACCGCGACUGGCUGGUUUACUGAAUAUUUUAAGCCAUUGUUGAGAUCUACCUCUUAGAAAAGAAGAGUUCUUUAAAAAUAUUACUGCUCAUUGGUAACGCACCUGGUCACCCAAAGUCUCUAAUGGAGAUUUACAAGAUGAAAUUUUCAUGCCUGUUACACACCAUCCAUUCUGCAGCCCAUGAAUCAAGGAGUGAAUUCAACUUUCAAGUCUUAUUACUUACCAAAUACAUUUUUUGUAAGGCAAUAGCUGCAACAGAUAGUAAUUCCUCUGAUGGAUCUGGACAAAGUCAAUUGAAAGCCUUCUGUGAAAGACUCACCAUUCUACAUGCCAUUGAGAACAUUUGUGAUUCAUGGGAGGAGGUCAACAUAUCAAUAUUAAUAGGAGUUUGGGAGUAGAUUCCAACCCUUAUGGAUGACUUUGAGGAGUUCAAGACUUCCAUGGAAAAAGUAACUGCAGAUGUAGUUGAAAUAGCAAGAGAACUUGAAUUAGAAGUGAAGCCUGAAGAUGUGACUGAAUUGCUGCAAUCUCGAGAGAAAACUUUAAUGCAUAAGGAGCUGCUUUUUACGGAUGAGCAAACAAAGUAGUUUCUUGAGAUGGAAUAUAUUGAAGAUGCUGUGAACAUUGCUGGAAUGACAAUAAGGACUUAGAAGAUUUCACAACCUUAGUUGGUAAAGCACUGGCAGGGUUUGAGGGGACUGAUUCCAAUUUUGAAAGAAGUUCUACUCUGAGUAAAAUGCUAAAGGACAGCAUUGCAUGCUAGAGAUAAAUCGUUUGUGAAAGGAACAGUCAACGGAUGUGGAAAAUUGCAUUGCUGUUUUAUUUUAAGAAAUUGCCACAGUCACUCCAACCUUUAGUAGCCACCACCUUGAGCAGUCAGCAGCCAUCAACAUCAAGGCAGGACCCUCUACCAGCAAAAAGAUUACGACUCGCUGAAGGCUCAGAUGAUCGUUAGCAUCUUUUCACAAUAAAGAAUUUUUAAAUUAAGGUAUGUACAUUGGCUUUUAAAAAACAUAAUACUAUUGCACACUUAAUAAGCUACAGUAUAGUGUAAACAUAACUUUUAUAUGCACUGGGAAAUUAAAAAAUUCUGGUGACUUGCUUUAUUGCAGUAUUCACUUUACUGUGGUUAUCUGAAAUGGAACACAGAAUAUUUAUAACCUAUUAGCCUGUAUGUGCACAUAUGGUGAUAGGGAUUCAAGAAACUAAGAGCUUCAGUUCAGUGUCCCAAGUUAUACCAUGGGAUUUUGUUUGAGGCAAAACUGUGAUCAUGUGUCAUUUGACUUACUCUGUGAAAUGACAUUUGCUAUAUCUGUAGUGAGGCAUUUUUUUCACUAUGUUGCAAUUUAUUUGCACUUAGCUGGAAUAUCUCUUUUAUAAUUUUGUUUCCAGCACCUAGCAGACAGCCCAAAAGUUUAUUGCAGAAAGCUAGCACCAAACUCUUAUUCUCUUCAUCCUGGGCCCACAGACUACAUUUCCUAGCCUCCUAAACUUACACUUAAGUGUAGCCAAGUGACUGAGUUCUACAUAAUGGCAUUUGAACAGAAGUGGUAUGUGCCACCUCCAGUUCUGACAUAUAAAAACUUUGUGGGCAGGUCCUCCAUGCUGUUUUCCCAUCUGCCAGCUUGAAGCAGAAAAGCACGAAUCCUUUGGGAGCCACAUGUUGAAGCUGGCAGGCCCCCAAUAUUGAAGAUACUUAGGUCUCUGAAUCAGGACUUGGAGAAGAGCUGCUUGCUCAUCAGGAACAUCUGUUUAGGCUUUAUGUGAAAAAUACAUUUCUACUGUGGUUAAACCAUUAUGCAUUUUCAGAUUGUUUGUUAUGGCAGCUAGCAUUACUUCGACAUAUAGAUCCUUAGUAAUGAUUUGCUGAAUGAGUAGAAGAAGUAUAGAUUUUCUCUGUAUUGUGAUCUUGCCCAUUUCAGGCAAGAACAAGCUAGAAUUUCCAUGCUAUCAAAUUAAUGUCAGAAAAAAUGAGCUCAUAGGUAAGAAUUCAGUUUCUCUUGUGAGAGCCUCCAUAAUUUUAUUAUGAAGCUUAUCUUGGCAUACUUUUGGCACUUGAUAGGGUAUCACUGCCCAAGUCUGUGCAGUUUUCUAGGUGGUGUAAGUUCAUCAUAUUCAGAUAAACAUUUUCUUAGUGUUACUUGGUUGCCCAAGAGGUGAUUCUAAAUGCUGCUUUCCUGUUUAACUUUGCUGAAAGGAGGAAUUUCUAUUUAAGGGAUGAGACAGUAAAUGAGCAUUUGUGUAAAAAAAAAAAAAUCCCAAAUGUUUAAAUUUAACAUUAAACCCACCUCAAAAUAUUUUCACAAUCCCACAAUGAUGAUUGCUAACCUCUGCUGCUAGUUCCUGAACUCUGGUCCUCCCCUGGAACUUGGCUAAGCAAAUGUCAUGUAAACAAAAAAUAAAUAAUGAAUUUUUUAAAAUCCCCCUUCUUUAGAGGACAUAAGUGGGAAUGUUAAAGUCUGACAGCUGUGCAAAUGUAGUUAUCAACCAAACAGCUCAAGCUAUCAGUGGCAAUGUCACCGACAGUACCUAGAAUCUACAUGAUUUGGCGUUAGUCCAAUCUGCUUUAACCUGCCUGAGCCUCCAUUUCUUCAUUUGUAAAAUAAGGGGUUUCAGUGAUUCUGAACUGUCUGAGAACCAGUAUCCCCUUUCAUAAUAAAUUUUAACACCUAAUUUACUUUUAGAAAUAAAAUUGAUAACAUAACCCCCAUUUCAAAAAACAUAUUUUAUAAUUUAUAUUAUUUCAAAAUGUAAAUACCAGACACAUCUAAACUAGAAAACAUAAAUAGUCAAAUGCUUUAUAAACCUACUAAUAAACAGUAAGUUUGGAUUUUAAAGAAGCAAAAGACUAGAGGCCAUCCCAUUCAAGUAGUAAAGGAAAAGUUAUAUAAAAAUGUCUUAUUUGUAUUCAAUAAGAGAAAGAGGACCAUAACUUUAACUGAACUAGGCUUAUAACUCAAGUCAAAUAACAUUGUUGAAAUGAAGAAAAUUAGGAAGACUGGGCUGUAUCUAUAAAUGUUAUGCCAGAGCACUUUUCUUUUUCUUUUUAUGUUUGGAGACAGAGUCUCGCUCUGUCACCCAGGCUGGAGUGCAGUGGCACGAUCUUGGCUACUGCAACCUCCGCCUCCCAGGUUCAAGCGAUUUUUCUGCCUCAGCCUCCUGAGUAGCUGGGACCACAGGCGUGCACCACCAUGCCCGACUAAUUUUUGUAGAGAUGGGGUUUCACCAUGUUGGCCAGGCUGGUCUCAAACUCCUGACCUCAGGUGAUCCACCCACCUCAGCCUCCCAAAAUGCUGAGAUUACAGGCAUGAGUCACUGUGCCCAGCCAAGCAAUUUUCUUAUGGUAUGAUAUGUUGAGGCAGUGAUGAAGUAUUACAGAAAACAUAUGUUCUAUCUUGAUAACCUGCACAUAUGGAGAGAAAUUCAUUCACUAAACUUGAAGACUCUAGAAAUGUAGAAAAGAAGCUGCAAUGGAAAAGAAUCAAUAAUUUCCACAACAUAGAUUAUUAUUAUUGUGUUGUUAUCUAGGAUGGGAUAAAGGGACAUAUUUUAAAAAUAAUCUUAAUUAACAAAAUUCAAUAACAGCCUCAUAUUUCAUGUCUCUACUACUUUAAUAAUUUGUGCAAAUUUAUGUUUUAGUAAGUAGAGAAAAUUUUUAAAUUUGAUAACUACCAUCUUCAUUAAUAAAUAAUUACUGGAGUAGUUUCUUUUGCAACUCUCUACUAGUAUUUCCUCCCAUUACCCAAACAGAGACGAAGCAAAACAAACAAAAAUCCAGCCUACAGUAUGUUUCUUCAUUUUUACAGAAUUGCAGAGUUUACCUUAGAAAACUAAGAAAAGAUAGAAGACUGACUAAAAACUAAAGUUUUGAAAGAUGUUUUACAUAUGAACAUUAGGAUGUUUGCACACUAUUUCACAAAACUGACAUGGAAUAAUACUGAUGGGGGGAAUGCUUUUUCUGCAAAAAAAGCUAUAUUGCAAUUCAGGGAGAAUCUCAUGUUAUUAGUUACUGAUCACAAAUAUGCAAGAGAAUAAUAAUGCUAAGUUGAGCCCAAUGGUCUGAAUAUUCCUUUACUGUAGCACAAUCUGGCAUGACUGCCUUUAAAUGAAAUCUGUAUUUCACAUCAAUUUGAAAUCAGCACAUCAUACAAUUUUUAAAAGGAAAUUUAGCUAUUUACCCCUCUACAGAAUCACUGAUUUGACAAUAAAUAUUUUUGAGAAAAUAUAAGAAAAUAAACUUUCUAAAUAAGCAAUUUACAUUGAUAUUCUAUAUUUAAAUUAUGUUUUAUAAAAGCAUGCGCUUUGGAGUCAGAUCUGGAUUUGAAUCCUGAUUCUACCACUCAAUAUGUAAUAUAUAUAAAGAGCUUAGCAGCGUUCAAGGCACACAGUAAAUCCUCAAAUGUUAGCUGUUAUUAUUUCUAAUCAAAGCAGUGGUGGCUGCUAUUUAUAAACACUACUAUGCAUGCUUUAUGUACAUUAUUGCAUUUGUUCCUCCUAAUUAUUCAAUUAAUAUUAUCCCUGUUGAAUACACAAAAACACUGAGGUUCAGAAAAAGUUGAGAAACAGGCCCAAGGUCUGAGUGUGUCAGAAGCCAAAGCGCCAAUGCUACUGACCACUAAAUUGUUGCUUCUUAAACUGGGGUCCAUGCAAAAUCCUUGUGGAGUAUAUAUGUGUUGGGUGUAGGAAAGUGCCCAUGAACUUACUAUGAGAAUUAUGCAUUAUUCAUGUUGAUGAAACAUUUUAAAAUAAUAUUCAUGCUCUGAAUUAUUUGGAUAAUUGUAUUAAAACCAAAUAUUGGCAGAACCAUCUCAGUGCUUAGGUUUGUAUUUGUAUUGACUUCCCUGUUAAGGCCCAGUUCUACAUUAGUGGUGGAAGGCUUAUGGAGAACAGAGGCUGUUUUAAUAGGGGAAUGAUGGAUUCAGGCUAGAUGAGGACCAAAUAACAUCACUAUGUGCUGAACAAAUUAAAGUAAUAGUCUGAAUAGGAGAAAACAGGGUGAAUUGGGUCAUCACAUAGUACAUGGCAGUACAUGCCUGUUGAACUGAAAAGAGCCUGUACUGUAGCACUCAGUACCAUAAUCACAUUACAAGUGACAAUUUCAUUUUGUCAAAACAUCACUAUUUAAUACUAUUUUAAAUUUUAUUAGUUUUAUAGUUUUGCUUGUGUUAACCCAUAAACUUGUUUUGGUUUUAUACUUGUGCAAGACAUAUAAACAUAAAGCAUUUAUACCUAGUUUUAUGUUUAUAUAUAUUUAGAUAACAUUAUAAUAAAUAUAAAUUAAGCAAAAACUGAGGAGCUAAGAGAUUUUUUUCCUUAUUAAAAAGUGAAGUACAUUAUUCAGUUUGAGAAAACUGGUCUACACGGUCGGUCCUGCUUGUGAAUGUCGUCUUCAGGAGGUAACUUCUAUUAUCACCAACCUCACAGGAUUUGUAAGAGCAUUAGAAGAGACGAUGAACGUUAGAGUGCCUGGACCACAGGAAGAAUUACAAUGACAGUUCUGUCUCCUUUCCUUGAAAGAGAAAAUCUGGAAGCUAAAUGCAGUCUAUACUCUUUUACUCUAACUAUGGUCUGGGGACCAGGAGAAUUGAUAACACCUAAGAGCUUGUUAGAAACUGAUAAUCCCAGAGGCCACCCCAGAACUAUUGAAUCUGAAUCUCCAUUUAAUAAUAUCCUCAGCUGAUUUGAUACAUGCACAUGAAAGUUUGGGAAACACUAGUCCAGGUCUCCACAGAGAAUGUUGACUAAAAUUCACUGAGUUUUUAACUACUCUUAAGGUUAACUUUGGUAAUUAGAGAAAGACCUCAUGUAAAUGGUCAAAAAAUAAUGUCCCAUCCUGGGGUUCAAUAUAAACACUAUUAUUUCACUAUUGAUUCUUCAUAGGCUAUAUUUGUAUAGAGUGAGACCCUCUUUAAAAGGGAUCUAACUUCUAAUUCAGAAUGAGCAAAAAAUAUUUUAAAAUACAAAGUUUUCAUAAAAGCUUUCUGAAUUUUCAGUAAGCAAAUUGUAAGAUCUGUCAAUUUAAGCAUUUUUAGGUUUCCUUCGCCCAAUACCAAUUAAAAUCAUUUAUAUAUGUUAAGCUCUUAAAUAUUUAGCUCACAAGAUCUGGUCUAACAAAGUCCUGUCUCAGUCUGUGAUGACUGUGUGCUUACGUUAACGAAACACAUUACAAAAAAAAAAGGUAUGACUGUGUAUAUAAAAUGUAUUAGCUUUACUGUCCAACAAAAGUAUCAGAUCACAUUCUGCAGUUGUGAUUUUGUUAGUGUAAUUCACCUACAGAAUACCUAUGCUUUUCUUCCUGAACUCAGUGGUCCUAUACAUUUAAGGCAUACUGUACUUGAAAAGAUUCAAAGAUGCUGUUCUUAAAAGUGUAAAAAAUAACUAAUAUACAAGAGAGUCACUAAUAUCUAAAAUGAUCUUGAUACCAUCUGUUUAAGGACUAGUUCAGUAAGACUCAAAGAUUGAACUAGGUUAUUUAUUGCUCUAUGUUCUCUACAUAUGGACCACAGAAGUCCGACUCAAAGAAUGUAAAACAAGGCAGAUUAUGCAUAUAUGUGUGUGUGCAUGCAUGUAUAUGUAUAUAUGGUUAGGCCUACCAGGCAAUCCUUAUCAUCUCUGGGUUUAUGAUAUGACCUAGAUUAUAGGUAUGUUAUGAACUGAAUGCUUAUGUUCUCCUCCUCGUCUGCAAAUUCAUAUGUUGAAGCCCUAACAUACAAAGUGAUGGCAUUUGGAGGUGGGGCCUCUGGGUGGUAAUCAUGUCAUGAGGGUGGAGCCCUCAUGAAUGAGAUUAGUGCCCUUAUAAGAAGAGACAGGAAAGUAACGAUGUCUCUCUCUCUCUGCCAAGUGAGAAUACAGCAAGAAGCCAGAAGAGGGCCCUCAUCAGGAAUUGCGCUGGAUGGCACUUUGAUCUUGGGGUUUCUCAGCCUCCAACUGUGAGAAAUAAAUGUGUUUUGUUACGCCACCCAGUUUACGGUAUUCACCCAAAAUGACUAAGAAAAUGGUUUGGGCCAGGUUCUUGAGGUAGCCAAGUUCCCCU
RNAcentral lists this long non-coding RNA (11630 nucleotides) under Homo sapiens (human). RNAcentral's name for it is "HSALNT0013423". Lineage: Eukaryota; Metazoa; Chordata; Mammalia; Primates; Hominidae. The record is from RNAcentral.